ACUUCCGGUCAGCGCAGCCCAGGCCGCAGGAGGGUACGGCCCUGGACCCCCUCUCUCCAGUGGGGGCUGGAGAUGGGAGCGCAACUGGGGCUCCGCCGAGGUCUCUGAGGGCACUUCACCCCCGCCCCCGACCCCAGGAACUGCGAAACCCCAAAUCUUCUUGCCCACCGCGGGGCGCAGGUCCUGCCCACCCGCUCUCCAGGGACGCGCGCAGAAAGGCAGUCCCGGCCGCCUCCCCGCGCCAGGGUCCGGGCAAGCGUCUGAAAGCUGUGCUUGGGCCGCAGCUCCAGCCAUCGCCCCUCACCCCCGGUUCUCCCGGGCCACGUUCAUUGCACAGUUUCGAUUUGUUUAGGCCGGGGUCUCCUCUUCUUUCCUCAACAUCUUUUUCUGUGGGCUCCCCGCCUCCGUAUUCCUCCUCAUCCUCUGCUCCAAGGUUUCCGUUUUUUGCACCGGAGGCCGCCCUUCUGCGACCAGCCUUCUCCGGCCGCUCGGACUCGGCCUCUGCAGCGGGGUGCACCCGGGCGUCCCUUCGGCUCCCGGCCCUCCCUCUCUCCUCGUCGCCCAGCCCUGCCUCCAACUUUGCGCCCCCGGCUGCCCCGCGCCGCGGCUCAACUGGACAUCCGAACGCUCCGACUGUCCGCUCCCCUCCCCUCCCCCGGCCGACACGUGGGGACCAGCGCUGACCUUGGGUGAGGCCACGCUGUCCCCCGCUGCUCUCCAGUCACCCCUGUAUCCCUUUGACUCUUGGGCUUCCGAGUAGGGGCUCCCGGAGUAUUACCAGGGAAAAGGGGAGCGCCCUUCCCCUGGUAAUGAGAGUAGCCACGCAAUGUCGGCUGCGCAAACUGGGCCUCAGAGCGGCCAGGCCAGGGUCAAACCAGGAAGAGGGGGAGGGGUGGACAGCAAGGCUGAAGAGACCUGACUUUAUUUGUGUUGCUUCAACUGGUCCUGAAUGGUUACACGAGGCGCGCGCUCUUGCACACACACCGCGGGCAGCCCAAACCCUCGCUGGCUCGGCCCGCCGGCUCCUCGCCCUGCCAGUCCUGAGCCGGCUCUGAGCCACUGGAGUCAGAGGGCCCGGGCGCCUGCCUUCUCGGUGCGGGCUGGGGAGGACCUGCUCGCGAAGGGCUGCCAACUGAACUUUUCCUGCACCAGGGCUGACCGCAUUGUGGUGCAAAGUGACAAGUCGAGUGUUGACUUGGGGACUGCGAUAAAUCUUAAGGAAGAGUGGAAAUGCAUGGGCUUUGGAGCUGGACAUUUGGGGUUUAAAUGCUGACUCUGCUGUGGGACCGUGGCACCUAGCACAGAGCUAGCCACACUGAAGGAGCCACAUGGAGAUGUGGCCACCCCUGAGUGGAUGACGCCUUUGCCAGCCUUUGGGAAUGUGUCUUUUCUUCCUGAACCUCAUUUCCUGAGAGUGACCAGAUGAGGAAGCCGAUGUCUAGAGAGAGCGAGGAAAUUGCCCAAGGUCCAGUGGGGGACAGAGAGAGGCUUCAACUUUAUGGAGUAGCUGGACACUGCAUCUAUCACACCAGAUAUUGGGAGAUGCAGGGCAGAUGCUUCAUGCUUUCAGAGGUUUCCAAAGAUGGCCAGGCUGCUGCAGCCAUGAAGAUAUCCAGGGUGACUGGACAAAGGAGGUUAUGUUGUUCUUCACAAGUUUGUAAUCUAUCCAGUCAAUAUUAAGGAGCCCUACUACGUGAACUGUCAACGGAGUAGAAGUCAAGCAAAGGUGACUUGCUGCCUGCCACAUCUGCCUCCCGCUGUGAAAUCACAACAAGGCAACCACGAAUAGCUGGUAAAAGUCCCAGUCUUCAACGCAGUGGUGUAAUUUCCUAUGAUAAAUAGCUUGGAAGAAUGCUAAUCAAAAUUACUUUCUGGUUCUACCUUAUUCAGCAAGACAAAUGCAUGACAAGGCCCCAGAGGCAGGGAUUUGCUUUAAUUUGAGGAUGUCUUUGCUCAAAUCUGUCUGACCAUGUUGGCAGCCACCCCCCACCCAACUCUGUGCACCUGGGUGGGGCAUGGGCCCAUCUGUCUUGGCACCAUGGCCUUUUCACCUGCAGACCUGCCUCUGUAGCCUGAGCACCAUUUACCUCAUCCAUUGCCAGAAGUUACUCUCUCACAUGCUUCAAAUUUACUUUCCAGAAAGCAAAAGGGCUUCCAAUGAUUUGAAGAGAGUGAUGCUGACAGUGUGCAUUAUUACCAUUCUCAUCUCUAGGAACUCCCACUUUUUUCAGCAGGCUGAUGGGCAUAUGUGGUCUACAUGGCCAAACGGGCAAGAAGAUGUAAGGAAAUCUUUUUUUUUUAACUUAGAUAAUUUGUUUUUUAAACUUGGAUACUUGGAUCACAAGAGAAAAUUUCGAGAGACUUUGACUUGAGGCACCAUUUCCACAUGGGUUGAAGGAUUUCAGGAAGAGUCCCAAGUAGGGCAACCAGAUCUGCUAAGAGGAUGUCACUGCAGUUUCUGGACUCAGCUAAUGACAUCAGGGAAAAGGGAAGGUCAUUUUCCUUUGUAUGAAAUGGCAAACAUGUGAGCAGGGAUUUGUAAACUCAGACUACACCACAGGCAGGCUUCAGUGUUUGACGCCUUCUGUUUUUAUUGCUUUGUGAGACUGACCAAUUAAAACAACCCAAAGGCCACGUUUAUGAAUAUCUCUCUGAUGGGACCAACUUCCCUUGCUGUGAGCCUCGCACAGUGGCUAUGUAUGGACAUCAUCUGAGUAGGAAAUAUUGCCCUGGAGUGAGAGGGAUUCCACAGAGUGGGUUUCUCUCCCCCUCCUAGGUCUUAACCUUUCAUAGCAAGACAGACAACCAGGAAAGUAGGAAAUCGAAACAAGCUAUGUUUAGCUGAAUUUUACAUACCAUAAUCUCUUUACCAUGGUCAAGCAAGGCAGGAAUGCUCAGGCCAAUCGGUUCUGGCUCAAAUCCAUUCCAGAGGGGAGUGAUUUACAACUUAGCACCAUCUUCGUCUCUUCCCUGAGAGUGAAGUUAAAUGACCCAAGAAUAACAUUAGUCUGCACCAGACCUCGCGAGAAUGAUCUUCCUAAGGGUGGUCCUGGGCAUGGGUUUUCACCUGCAGAAACUCAAGCCCAGACAUCCCUCCAAAGCCCUGGUAAGGGUCAAGUAGCAUUCCUAUGUUAAGAACCGACAGUGUGGUGAGUUACGAGGUCUUAGGGAAGAGUGGAGUCUGGCCCAGAGGCCUUUUGUUGCUUCCUCACCAGUGAAUCUUAAGUUGUCCCAGGCCAGGGAUACACAUGCAUAUGUAUUUCAGCCUCCUCCCCACUUCAUGCCCCAAGAAAAGGCCCUUCUGUCUCAUGCUUGAUAUAAAAAGAUUGCAAGGUGUUAGAAGGCAAGUUAAUGGGUAACCCAGGGCAGAGAAAGAAACAGGGCAGAGGUUUGUCACUUCAAUGGUUAAAAUAUCUUGAUGUAAAAAUGAGCCCCUUAAAAUAGUCCGGGAGGGCCCAAAAAACCACCCGACGGGGCUUAUAAAUAGACGAGCGAGAUGUUGAAAUUAUUUUAAGACAGAUGCCUUUUAAAACUGUAUUCAGAACAUCUUUUGGGGCUCCUAGUUGCACAGUUCCUCAAGCAGGAGGUAUUUCAUCUUCGCAACAUCUGGAACUGUCAAAGAGGUAGCGCUGCAGACCUCAACAGAUGCAGACACUUCUACAUAAAAGUGCACCAACAAAUCAUGGCCAUAAUUGCAGAACAACACGAAUGUUUCACAGGCAGCUGUGGAGAAAACAAUGCUCUGGCAGGGAGGAAAACUUACUGUAACCCCCAAACCCCUCCACUUUUAUUGCUGAAUCACUCCUUUAAGCAACUUUUCCACAGUUCUCCACCAAGAGGCUAACAAUUGCAAGCAAGUUUAUUUUCUCAGCUUGUAAUCAGGAGAUGAUUGACAAGGAGGUCUUUUUUUCCCCUUUGGGGUAAAAAUUUUUUUAUCCCACAAAUCGGUAGCCUUGACUUGGUUGGGUAAAUUUGUGAUGUUGCUCAAAGUAAUCUCCAUGCUUGGUUUGGUUUUUCAGGUGAGGGGCAAGUGACAGCCCUUUGAUACAUGAAGGGGGCCAGUGUGUCCCCACAUUGCCUUCCUGUGAUGGGCAAAGCCACGUGGCAAAGUCAGACCUGGCUGGGAUGCCCUAUACAACCGGGACCCUGAGAACUCAGCCUUCCAUUAGAACUCAGAACAAAACUGAUAUUUUGAUUUGUCAUUUCAGAGGCAGAGGCUCAAAAAUACUUUAGAAACCUGUGGCCCGAUGCAUCGCUUGAAAUUUUUAUGCAGCUGAGGGCUGGAGUGCGGUGGGAGAAAUAAAAGUGGGAGGAACGCCACAAAGGACCAUGUUAGAACUUAACACAACUGUUCUAUAAAUUAUGGUGACAAAACAAAUACUGCUAAUACUGAUGAUAAUGAUAAAUGCUUUUAAUCAGUUUUACUAAAGCAUUUUAAAUCUUGUGGGACAGAUGGGAAAAUAAAACUUGCUGUUGGAACCUUGGGAUUUAUAAGAAACUCCUUGGUCAACAUUAUAAGGAGGACGGAAUCUUCCAAGGUGAAGAAGAGAAGCUGGUGUGAUAAAAUUUCUAUCAUCAUCACGUUUUCGCUUUGCUUUAAUGGCAAAUUAACACUCACCCUAGUUGUUAAACACAUCCUUUCAAUUAAUCUCCCAGCCGGUGAAGUGCUGCUCCCUGGAUCUUGAGCAAUGUGGGUUGCCUGACCCACGUCAGGGCCAAGGAAACUGGCGGGCAUGGUCAGGGGUGGAAGCGGGUGACAGUUAUUUCAGGGGUCAAGUGUUUAAACAUCUGGUGCCUCCCUGAAGCCAGCUUUGGCUCGGACACCUCUGCUCAGGCAGGAGAAGCAGGGAGUCGGGGCUGCGGAUCUUUGCCUCUGAGCCCUCUGUUUUCCCUCUGCUUCCUGGGGAAGAAUGCCCGAAUGAGAACACGCAACCGCACAACUUCUACCACCCUGUGGUAACUUUAUGCCAUGACAUACACUCCCUCUACUGGGACGUUCCUUCCAUCCUUGUGAGAAACACCCCCACGACUCCUGGUUGCCCCCUUUAAUCCCUCAGUUCCAGGGGCAUCUUUGGAAGAGCUUUGAAGGCCAACUCAAAUGUGUAUUCUCAGGUUUUGAAAGAUCUCAGAAUCACCAGUGCUGGGACUCUUGUAUUCACUGGGGGUGAACAAUGAUGAACAUAUUGAGUGGUAGAGUAAUAACCACAAGACAAAACCAGCACAGUCUUCAGCCACAGCCAAUGGUGAUGCCGCAAGUCCAACUCUCGUAAGAGGUGGGGGGGCUCAGAAAGGGAAGUGGCCUGUCCACCGAAGCUGACAAAAACAUUUGCAGUGUUUGCAUUUUCUCCCAGCCUCUACAUCUCCCAAAUGGUUCCUUUUCCACAGCAUGCCCCCACCCCCAAUUUUAUACAUAGCAGAUGGCCUUCAAACAAAUCAAGGAGCAGAAGCUGCAAAAGGCUUAAAAAAAAAAAGACAGUGAAACUCAUAUAUUUCUUCAAAAGAUAAGAUGAACUACAGAUGUUUGCUGAAGGGUGAUGGUGCUGCCUACAACUUAAGACUCGACUUAAGAGUCCACUUAUGUUUAGCGUUGGACAAGCCCAGUAGAUGUCAUGGUGUGAUUUAUGGAGGUUGUUUGUGAGAUUUUAUGUUACUGGGGACAUGGCAAUGAAAACACUCUGCCAUUCUGCCUGCAAGCAUCUUUCUCUGUGGACCCAGGUGGGGAGUCCAUGAUGGAAACCGUGUGCCAGCCAGCAGCCAGGCAUGUAUCCUUGCCAUCCACAGCUCAGCCCACGUGUCCUUGAUCGCCCUGCAUUCUGACCAAUAUGCCCCUUCGCUCCUGGGCCACUUUCUCUCCUCUUUUAUGGAGUUCUUGGUCCUUGCCAAUGUCCUAUUCUUACCUGACACCUGCAGUCAGAUUAGUCUCAAAUCAAGCUUGACAAAGUUGCUAAAAGAGAAACAGUUGUCUCUUGCAGGAUCCAGCUGUAUAUAGAAAACAGCUGCUUGCUAGGCACGUUUUUUGAAAAGGAAGAGAAGAAUCACUGCAAAGGGCUUAAAAAUGAACAUAAAGCAUAUCUUGAAUAAGACAACAGAGGCCUGUAAUUAACGCAAGGGUUAAGUAUCUGUGUUUCUAUUAAAUGCUUCUUUUUCAGGACUUGUUGUAACUUGGUCAUAAAUAUUUAUUACAAACUGAAACUGAGGAUAUAAGACCUUAGCUGAAUGCUGUUUCCCCCUCUCACUUCUUUGCUUUCCAAAGCUAAUUCUUAACAAUGCAAAGAGUGUGAUGUGUUUUGGACACACACACCUACUCCAAAAUGCAAGCCAAUGUAUGCAUCUGUGCAGAGGCAGACACCUACGCCCAUCAGCACAGCACAUGUGCACACCGCCCUUCCCUAGACGCUCAAGUGGUGAGUAUAAGGCAGAGGCUGCUGAGUCUUGGGCAGAAGCAGCAGGAGGAGGCCCCAGCCAUCCCCUGGCCUCUGGAGCAGAAACAUGGGGAGCCUUUGAAGUUGCCACAACUCAGGUGGAAGCCCCUCAGAGCAGCCCUAAGAGGAAGUCAUUCAUUUUCAAACAAAGGGGAAAAUUCCUCAGGACCCUGGUGUUUCCACUAAAACAAUCCUCUGAAAAGUUAUUCCCCAGAGGAGCAAGGACCAGCUGUGCUCCAUCUCCACGAGGUUGUGAAGAGAGAAAAUGGGCCGCCUGCACUACAGCAUGAGAGCCAUCAGUUAGACAAAAAGAAGCAUGGUGAGACAGGCAAGGCCCUCCAGAGAAAGCCAGGAAGACAGUGAGUGGCUUUCAAAACCGAUGUGGUGCAUUCAGAGGCUGGAAGAUGGACAAUAUUACUUUCCCAGAAAGUUUCGCAAAACUUUCUCUUUUGUUGGCAUGUUGAAAAUAGCAAGCCAUUGCCUCUUCCCCCGGCCGCUGGGUCUGCUGGCAAGCAUGUUAAUUUCCAGAACUCACAGAAUUAAAGCCAGAGAGGAUCCUUGUAACUCAUCUUCUCUCCCUCCCCAGCUUCCCACAGAACCAUACCCAAAAGCUUCCGUGGACACAAGAAUCUUGCUUAUUUUUAAAUAGUUUGAAUUACCUGGUAGUGGAUUUUGUUUUUUUUUAGCUUCUCUAUCCCUUUUUAAUUUAAAUUAAUUUUAUUAUUAUUAUUUUUGAGAUGGAGUCUUGCUGUGUUGCCAGGCUAGAGUGCAGUGGCAUGAUCUCUGCUCACUGCAACCUCCAACUCCCUGGUUCAAGUGAGUCUCCUGCCUCAGCCUCCCGAGUAGCUGGGAUUACAGGCACGUGCCACCACGCCCAGCUAAUUUUUGUAUUUUUAGUAGUGACGGAGUUUCACCAUGUUGGCUAGGAUGGUCUUGAUCUCCUGACCUCGUGAUCCGCCCGCUUCGGCCUCCCAAAGUGCUGGGAUUACAGACGUGAGCCACGGCGCCCAGCCUCUAUACCUUGAAAAAAAAAAAAGGUCUGUGAAUACACAGUAGGUGUAUGUAAUUAUGGGGUACAUGAGGUAUUUUGAUACGGGCAUACAAUGCAUAAUAAUCACAUCAGGGUAAAUGGGGUAUCCAUCAGCUCAAGCAUUUGUAAUUUCAUUGUGUGACAAACAUUCCAAUUAUACCUUUUCAUUAUUUAAAAAUGUACAAUAAAUUAUUGUUGACUGUAAUUACCCUGUUGUGCUAUCAAAUACUGGAUCUUAUUCAUUCUAUCUAAUUAUAUUUUUGUACACAUUAACCAUGUCUACUUCCCCCUGACUUUCCACUUCCAACUCCCCUCCCCAGCUUCUGGUAACCAUCAUUCUACUCUCUAUCUCCAUGAGUUCAAUUGUUUUAAUUUUUAGCUCCCACAAGUGAAUGAGAACAAGUGAAGUUUAUCUUUCUGUCCCUUGCUUAUUUCACUUAACAUAAUGUCCUGUAGUUCCAUCCAUGUUGUUAUUAUUAUUUUUAUGCCAGUAUCAUGCUGCUUUGGUUACUAUGACUCUGUAGUGUAACUUGAGGUCAGGUAGUUUGAUCUCUCCAGUUUAGUCCUUUUUGCUCAGGAUGGCUUUGGCUAUUCUUAGUCUUUUGUAGUUUCAUAUAAAUUUUAGGAUUGCUCUAUUUUUUUUUUCUUUGAAGAAUGUCACUUGUAUUUUGAGAGGGAUUGCAUGGAAUCUGUAGGUUGCUUUCAGUAGCAUAAACAUUUUAGCAAUAUUGCUUCUUCCAAUCCAUGAACAUCUUUCCAUCUUUUUGGUGUCCUCUUCAAUUUCUUGCAUCAAUUUUUCAUAGUUUUCAUUGUAGGGAUCUUUCACUUAUUUGGUUAAUUCCUAGGUGUUUUAUUUUAUUUGUAGCUAUUGUAAAUUAUAUUACUUUCUUGAUUUCUUUUUCAGAUUGUUAACUGUUGGCAUAUAGUAAUGAUACUGAUUUUUGUACGUUGAUUUUAUAUCUUGCAACUUUACUGAAUUUAUCAGUUCUAAUAGUUUUUUUGGUGGAGUUUUUAGGUUUUUCCAAAUAUAAGAUGAUACAUCGUCUAUAAACAAGGAUAAUUUGACUUAUUCCUUCCUAACGUGGAUGCCCUUUUUUUCUUUCCAUUUUCUGAUUGCUCUAGCAAUCAGAUUGCUCUCCCAGUACUAUGUUGAAUAGCAGUGGUGAAAGUAAGCAUCCUUGUCUUGUUCCAGAUCUUAGCGGAAAGGCAUUAAUUUUUUCCCAUUCAGUAUGAUACUAAUUGUGGAUCUGUCAUAUGUGGCUUUUAUUGCAUUGAGGUGUGUUUCCUCUACACCAAGUUUUUUGAGGGUUUUUAUCAUGAGGGGAUGUUGAACUUUAUCAAAUACUUUUUCAGCAUCAAUUGAAAUGAUUGUAUGAUUUUUGUCCUUCAUUCCGUUGAUAGGAUGGAGCAUAUCAAUUGAUUUGUGUAUGUUGAACCAUCCUUGCUUCCCUGGGAUAAAUCCUAUUUAGUCAUGAUGAAUAAUCUUUUUAAUGUGUUGAUGAAUUCAGUUUGCUAGUAUUUUGUUGAGAAUUUUUGCAUCAAUGUUUAUCAGGGAUAUUGACCCGUAGUUUUCUUUUUUUGAUGUGUGUUUUUCUGGUUUUGGUAUCAGGGUAAUAUUGGCCUCAUAGAAUCAGUUUGGAAUUAUUUCCCCCUGCUCCAUUUUUCAGAAUAGUUUGAGAAGAAUUGGUAUUAGUUCUUUAAAUGUUUGGUAAAAUUCAGCAGCGAGGCUAUUGAGUACCAGGCUUUUCUUUGCCGAGAGAUUUUUUUGUUAUGGCUUCAGUCUCAUUACAUGUGAUUGGUCUCUUCAGGUUUUGGAUUUCUUCAUGGUUCAAUCUUGGUAGGCUGUAUGUAUUUGACUUCUCUAUCUCUUAAUCUCUUUCCUUUGUGUGAGAGUUCCCCAUCCUGUAAAUCAGAGUUGGAAGUAGAAAAUUCCUCUCGUGGCUGAGGCUGAAAAGUCCAGUUCUUGCCUUUCCACCAUCCAUCCUCUCUGUGCGGGCUGGACCACUGAGCCCUCAUGCCGUAGACAAAGCUUGUCUCCACUUUAUUCUGGUGUCAGGCCUGUGGAAGGAGAGUUCGGGUGAAGGAUGUGUAUUGUGCAGUUUGCUCCAAUCACACGAUUUGGGGAGGUGAUGAUAGGACAGAUAAUACCAGAGUGUCAAUGUGUUCUGUUGCAUUAAUAUUGGGUUCAGGUUUGUGGGUGGGUGGAUGCUGAGUAGUUUUCCCAAUAAUGAACUUGUAGACAGACCAGAUAAUAAAGGCCUGAGCAAAGCCAGCAAUAUUUUGUCUUGUGACACAAAAUUGUUGGCUUUACAGUCAGAGGUAGGAUUGGAUCCUGGCUGAGUAAUCUUGGGCAAGAUUCUCAUCUUCUCUAAGCUUCAGUUUCCUCAUCUUCAAAUGAAGACUGUGAGACCUCGCAGGAUCAUUGUGAGGAUCAAAUGAGGAGGGAGAGAGAGUGCACAGGCACGGUGCAUGGCACAUAAUUGGUCCUCAAUAAAUAUGAUUAUAAAUGUCCUGCAAUCUAGAAGGAAAUCCAUAGGAAGGAAAAGAUGUGGACUAAGGUUUGUAAGGAACAUGUGAGUAUAUUGGAGUGCUGCACCAUAGCAAUGACAACAGAUCCUCAAAUGGCAAAUGUAUGUAUCUCAAAGAGCAUAUUUCUUCCCAGUUAUCUCAUUCAUAGAACCUAAUGCUGGAUCUUGGGUAACAGGGGUGUGCUUGUUAUUCUUCAUUUGUGUAUCCACCACUAGAUCCAUCCCCUGCCCUUUUCUGCCCAUUAUCCCAGGGGCACAAUGUAUGCUAACAUGUAUACACUGCCUCUCCCUGCUUUCUUGCUCUCUUGCUUCUGUCUGGGUUUGGCCAAUUCCAGCCUGGAUCCAGCUCUCAUCAGGUUCUAAGAAUACUAUGCCCUUCAGGCCAAGAAUGGCUAUAGCUUCCUGCCAUUGCUAAUCCCUGGGGCCUCAAUUUCCUGUGGUGGUUCCUUUAGCCCUAGCCACACUUCUGUGAAUUGUCUCUUUAUUAAAGUCUCUUUGGAAUCCCA
RNAcentral lists this long non-coding RNA (10486 nucleotides) under Homo sapiens (human). RNAcentral's name for it is "non-protein coding LINC01956:11". Lineage: Eukaryota; Metazoa; Chordata; Mammalia; Primates; Hominidae. The record is from RNAcentral.